GGGCAAUUGGAGGAUUUCUGGACUUGCCACUCAACUUUAAUACACAAGCUUUGCAAGAUGAUAAUAUUAUUGGUUAAAGAUACUGUUCAAGUAGAUCAAAAUGUUUGACGACAUUUAGACGAAGAGCUUCGCAGAGAUGACUGGGAUCUUCUGGACAUCCGUGCAGCGGAAGAUCCUGAAUUUUCGUGCCCCCUUCCCCGGGGUAGGAGAUGGCAUCUUAAUGUAUAGAAAAGUUCAACAUGACUUAGUGAUUUAAGUAAUGCUAACCAAGCAAAAUUAUUUAAAAAAUAUGGAGUUGAGAGAAGGGCUCCAUUUUCAUCUGCUUUCAUGUUUAUUAUGGAUGACAUAAUGAUCUUAAGAGAUUGACCAUAGGGACCCAACCAUAUUGGUUUGUUUAUAACUUUAUCAGGUUAAUGAUCCAUUGAGUCUUGA
Molecule: long non-coding RNA, 432 nt
Organism: Eucalyptus grandis
Lineage: Eukaryota; Viridiplantae; Streptophyta; Magnoliopsida; Myrtales; Myrtaceae
Exons: 3
Source: RefSeq, a predicted model, not a curated record